CUGCGGAGUACCAUGUUUAUGAUGCCCAAGGCAAGAAAUUGAGAAGCCAAUUGACUAAAGAGUGGCCACUCAGAUAGGAGGCCAUAAAAUAAAAUCUCUCAAAAAUAGCCAAAAAUAUUCUCAUAGAAGAAAAUCAAACAGCAUUUUGCGAAAGAAUUGUAGUGAAUUAUCCAUUGAGGAAAAGGCCACGUACCCUAUUCCUAAACCACAUCCACUCCCUCUAAAUUACCCCUCUUUGUUCUUCCCAUCUUCCCUCCACUCCAAUAUCGUUCCUCUUUCAGCUUGUCAGAUCUAUCAGUAGAAGUGAUCUCUGCAGGUUAUUGUUUCUUGUGAGUGUAUCAAUAUGGCUACUUCAUCAGUAUGCAUAGCAGGAAAUAGUUUGUCUACUCAUAGAAGGCAGAAAGUUUUCAGGAAGGAGAUUUAUGGCAGGAAAAUUUUAUUUUCCUCAAAUCUUCCAUCGUCUAGUAAAACAUCGAGAAUAGCUGUAAAAGCAUCCCUUCAGCAAAGGCCAGAUGAAGGAAGAAGAGGUUUUCUCAAAUUAUUGCUUGGAAAUGUUGGGCUUGGAGUACCGGCUUUGUUAGGUGAUGGAAAAGCCUACGCUGAUGAGCAAGGUGUGUCUAACUCAAGGAUGUCGUAUUCUAGAUUUUUGGAGUAUUUGGAUAAGGAUAGGGUGCAAAAAGUAGAUUUGUUUGAAAACGGAACCAUAGCUAUUGUUGAGGCUAUAUCUCCAGAAUUAGGAAACCGGGUUCAGAGGGUUCGGGUACAACUACCUGGGCUCAGCCAGGAACUCCUUCAGAAGUUGCGAGAAAAGAACAUUGACUUUGCUGCUCACAAUGCCCAAGAGGACUCGGGUUCUUUCCUAUUCAACUUGAUUGGGAAUCUGGCAUUCCCGCUUAUUUUGAUUGGUGGUCUUUUCCUGCUAUCAAGGCGGUCUCCCGGAGGAAUGGGAGGUCCUGGUGGGCCUGGUAACCCAUUAGCAUUUGGUCAAUCAAAGGCUAAGUUCCAAAUGGAGCCAAACACUGGUGUAACAUUUGAUGAUGUUGCUGGUGUAGAUGAAGCAAAACAAGAUUUUAUGGAGGUCGUAGAAUUUUUGAAGAAGCCCGAGAGGUUUACCGCAGUGGGGGCUCGUAUUCCAAAAGGUGUUCUUCUUGUUGGUCCUCCUGGUACUGGGAAGACCCUGCUAGCAAAGGCAAUUGCUGGUGAAGCGGGUGUUCCAUUUUUCUCAAUUUCAGGUUCAGAAUUUGUUGAGAUGUUUGUUGGUGUAGGAGCCUCUCGAGUCCGUGAUCUUUUCAAGAAGGCCAAGGAAAAUGCUCCCUGCAUUGUAUUUGUUGAUGAAAUUGAUGCUGUUGGGCGGCAAAGAGGGACUGGAAUUGGAGGAGGGAAUGAUGAAAGGGAACAGACCCUGAACCAACUAUUGACGGAAAUGGAUGGUUUCNAGAAAUGGACGGUUUCGAAGGAAAUACUGGUAUAAUAGUUGUUGCGGCAACCAAUCGUGCAGAUAUUCUUGACUCUGCUUUGCUGAGACCAGGGCGAUUUGAUAGACAAGUAAGUGUGGAUGUUCCAGAUAUCAAGGGAAGAACAGAGAUCUUAAAGGUUCACGCGGGCAACAAGAAGUUCGAUUCUGAUGUUUCUCUUGAAGUUAUAGCCAUGAGGACACCCGGUUUUAGUGGUGCAGAUCUUGCUAACCUCUUAAAUGAAGCAGCCAUUCUUGCUGGUCGGCGUGGUAAGACAGCAAUCGCAUCCAAAGAGAUUGAUGAUUCAAUUGAUAGGAUAGUGGCUGGAAUGGAAGGAACAGUCAUGACUGAUGGCAAGAGCAAGAGUCUGGUGGCAUACCACGAAGUUGGACAUGCCAUCUGUGGAACUCUCACUCCAGGGCAUGAUGCUGUUCAAAAGGUCACAUUAAUCCCACGUGGUCAGGCAAAAGGUUUGACCUGGUUCAUUCCUGCAGAUGAUCCAACCUUAAUAUCCAAGCAGCAACUCUUUGCUAGAAUUGUCGGAGGACUUGGGGGAAGAGCUGCAGAGGAAGUUAUCUUUGGUGAACCUGAGGUGACCACUGGUGCUGCAGGCGAUUUGCAGCAGAUCACCGGUUUGGCAAAACAGAUGGUUGUCACUUUUGGGAUGUCUGAACUUGGCCCAUGGUCACUCAUGGAUUCUUCUGCCCAAAGUGGUGAUGUAAUCAUGAGAAUGAUGGCUAGGAAUUCUAUGUCAGAAAAGCUAGCUGAAGACAUUGAUGGUGCUGUGAAGAGGCUUUCAGACAGCGCAUAUGAGAUUGCAUUGACCCAUAUCCGCAACAACCGUGAAGCAAUUGAUAAGAUUGUGGAAGUCCUCCUUGAAAAGGAGACGAUGACCGGAGAUGAAUUCCGCGCUAUUCUCUCAGAAUUUGUUGAAAUUCCUGCUGAAAACCGAGUUGCUCCUGUUGUACCUACCCCAGCAACUGUAUAAUAACAUGAACAUAUGCUUCAAUUUGUACAAUAUACUCAUCCACCUGAUUGAUUCAGGGUAUAUACAAUAGUUUGAGAUAGGUUAUCAAAAAAGUGAAAAUAUUUUAUGCAUGUGUGUUGUAAGCAGUUUUUGCAAUUGAAAUAGAACUAGUAGUUUCUUCAUUGUAAAUUUGUAAUGCUUUUCUCCAAGAUGUGGGAUGAGUUGUUUCAUUUCC
Molecule: non-coding RNA, 2656 nt
Organism: Nicotiana tabacum (common tobacco)
Lineage: Eukaryota; Viridiplantae; Streptophyta; Magnoliopsida; Solanales; Solanaceae
Source: RefSeq, a predicted model, not a curated record